This 73-nucleotide transfer RNA is filed under the name Ailuropoda melanoleuca (giant panda). It matches the Rfam family "tRNA". From Rfam's summary of the family: Transfer RNA (tRNA) molecules are approximately 80 nucleotides in length. Their secondary structure includes four short double-helical elements and three loops (D, anti-codon, and T loops). The record is from Rfam by way of RNAcentral. Lineage: Eukaryota; Metazoa; Chordata; Mammalia; Carnivora; Ursidae.
UCCUGGCUGGCUCAGGCGGUAGAGCAUGUGACUCUCAAUCUCAAGGUUGUGAGUUUGAGCCCCAUGUUGGGUG